GUGACGUACGGUGCCAUGCCUGUAUGUACGUAUGCUACUAGUAUAUCCCCUCGUCGCGAGGGAAUAAGGAAGGAGUGUCUGCAACAGAAGGAUUGGUAAAUUCGGCCCAUUAUGAUUAGCUUUGAUUAUCCGUAACAGACCCGGUGUGUUUACAAAACCUCAUUGAUGUAUGGAUGCACACACUUAGAGUCGUGUUCUCAAUAAUGGGCCUAUAGAGAACACUGCUUGACAGUUGUCAUAUCACACGACGAUAUCCCACACCAUCUAAUGAAGUUAUCACCGCCAAACCUGACUACAGUAUGACCUAUAAGUAUAAUGAACACUGGCUGUGGCCGUUGCUAUGGAACAGACGACAAAAACACAGAAUUCAACACCAAGAUGCAAAUAUUGUC
Molecule: long non-coding RNA, 392 nt
Filed under: Gigantopelta aegis
Lineage: Eukaryota; Metazoa; Mollusca; Gastropoda; Neomphalida; Peltospiridae
Description: uncharacterized LOC121378208, transcript variant X2
Source: RNAcentral